RNAcentral lists this unclassified non-coding RNA (244 nucleotides) under Hevea brasiliensis (rubber tree). Lineage: Eukaryota; Viridiplantae; Streptophyta; Magnoliopsida; Malpighiales; Euphorbiaceae. The record is from RNAcentral.
UUGCAUCUGCCUCAUGAUCCAGCAUUGCAGCAUUCCUUACAGUUGGCUCUUAGAAGUAAAGAUGAUCAUGAUAAUGACGAUAUGAAAUGGAACCAACAUGAUGAUCUUGAUGAAGAUGAUCAAGAAGUGGAAACUGAUGAUCAUGAUGAAUUUGAAGAGAAUCAUACUUCACAUGGGGAUAGCAGGGGAAUAUAUGGGGUCUCAGGGAGCUCCAUGAAAAGGUUGAAACAUUGCCAGGGCCAUG